Molecule: ribosomal RNA, 834 nt
Filed under: Triticum aestivum (bread wheat)
Lineage: Eukaryota; Viridiplantae; Streptophyta; Magnoliopsida; Poales; Poaceae
Description: partial small subunit ribosomal RNA
Source: RNAcentral
AUGCACCAGAUAAUGUUCCAUCUGGUCUCCAAGAACCAAAAGGGACGAAAGCACAAACAGAAAAUAUCAUCAUCUGGUCCAGCUAAUAGCUUGCAUACUACGAAUACUACUGGCCCCUUCCCCAGCUUGGCAUCCUCAACCCCUUCCACAGAUACUCCAGGAGACAACAUAUCAAUGUCAUCGAUGCAUCAUAAUGCCAGUAUAUCGUAUCACUUAGCUGUUUCUGGUGCUGAUGCCCUAGGGACUAGGGAAUCGCCAACAAACUACAUUGUUGACAUGGAUAAUUUUCUGGAGAAUGACUGUUUGGAAGAUAAGGUGGAUUCGUUCUUGUCACGUGAUGAUGCUGAAGGUUCGAGAGAUCCUCGAAGUCAUUGUAUGGCUUCUACUAAAGGAUUUGUCUUCCGAGAGAUUUCUUCAGUUCGAGCAAGCGCAAACAAAUUUGCAUCCUUUUACUUCUCAUCAGAUGGAAAGCUACUUGCUACUGGGGGUCAUGCUAAGAAGCAAGGUUAUUCAAUUUGUACGAUCACCAGGCACUCAGCAUAUGUUAUGUCAUUGGAUUUUUACGCUAUCAAGGUUGACGUAAUGUGUUCUUGUGAUGGGUAUAGUGAGAUAAUAUUCUGGAGUAUCAACAACGGAGGAAUUGUCCAAAAUUUCAAGGGAGGUUCGAGACAUCUGAGAUUUCAGCCACGUCCUGGUGGACAUCUUGCAGCAGCUUCAGAGAAUGAUGUGAAACCGCAAGCUUGUGUGAGGAGAUUUGAGGGUCACACCAAGGGUUCACUGUGUUGGGACUCAUCUGGGAAUGUAUUGUAUCUACCAUUGAGGAGGAUGCAGUAA